This 433-nucleotide ribosomal RNA is filed under the name Sphingomonadaceae bacterium 'ARUP UnID 600'. RNAcentral's name for it is "bacterial SSU rRNA". It matches the Rfam family "Bacterial small subunit ribosomal RNA", at positions 29 to 504 of the family's 1533-position model. Lineage: Bacteria; Pseudomonadati; Pseudomonadota; Alphaproteobacteria; Sphingomonadales; Sphingomonadaceae. The record is from RNAcentral.
ACGAACGCUGGCGGCAUGCCUAACACAUGCAAGUCGAACGAGGUGCCUUCGGGUAUCUAGUGGCGCACGGGUGCGUAACGCGUGGGAAUCUGCCCUGGGGUUCGGGAUAACAGCGGGAAACUGCUGCUAAUACCGGAUGAUAUCGUGAGAUCAAAGAUUUAUCGCCCUGGGAUGAGCCCGCGUCGGAUUAGGUAGUUGGUGGGGUAAGAGCCUACCAAGCCGACGAUCCGUAGCUGGUCUGAGAGGAUGAUCAGCCACACUGGGACUGAGACACGGCCCAGACUCCUACGGGAGGCAGCAGUGGGGAAUAUUGGACAAUGGGCGCAAGCCUGAUCCAGCAAUGCCGCGUGAGUGAUGAAGGCCUUAGGGUUGUAAAGCUCUUUUACCCGGGAUGAUAAUGACAGUACCGGGAGAAUAAGCCCCGGCUAACUCC